UUUAUGGAGAGUUUGAUCCUGGCUCAGGAUGAACGCUGGCGGCGUGCCUAAUACAUGCAAGUCGAGCGAACGGACGAGAAGCUUGCUUCUCUGAUGUUAGCGGCGGACGGGUGAGUAACACGUGGAUAACCUACCUAUAAGACUGGGAUAACUUCGGGAAACCGGAGCUAAUACCGGAUAAUAUUUUGAACCGCAUGGUUCAAAAGUGAAAGACGGUCUUGCUGUCACUUAUAGAUGGAUCCGCGCUGCAUUAGCUAGUUGGUAAGGUAACGGCUUACCAAGGCAACGAUGCAUAGCCGACCUGAGAGGGUGAUCGGCCACACUGGAACUGAGACACGGUCCAGACUCCUACGGGAGGCAGCAGUAGGGAAUCUUCCGCAAUGGGCGAAAGCCUGACGGAGCAACGCCGCGUGAGUGAUGAAGGUCUUCGGAUCGUAAAACUCUGUUAUUAGGGAAGAACAUAUGUGUAAGUAACUGUGCACAUCUUGACGGUACCUAAUCAGAAAGCCACGGCUAACUACGUGCCAGCAGCCGCGGUAAUACGUAGGUGGCAAGCGUUAUCCGGAAUUAUUGGGCGUAAAGCGCGCGUAGGCGGUUUUUUAAGUCUGAUGUGAAAGCCCACGGCUCAACCGUGGAGGGUCAUUGGAAACUGGAAAACUUGAGUGCAGAAGAGGAAAGUGGAAUUCCAUGUGUAGCGGUGAAAUGCGCAGAGAUAUGGAGGAACACCAGUGGCGAAGGCGACUUUCUGGUCUGUAACUGACGCUGAUGUGCGAAAGCGUGGGGAUCAAACAGGAUUAGAUACCCUGGUAGUCCACGCCGUAAACGAUGAGUGCUAAGUGUUAGGGGGUUUCCGCCCCUUAGUGCUGCAGCUAACGCAUUAAGCACUCCGCCUGGGGAGUACGACCGCAAGGUUGAAACUCAAAGGAAUUGACGGGGACCCGCACAAGCGGUGGAGCAUGUGGUUUAAUUCGAAGCAACGCGAAGAACCUUACCAAAUCUUGACAUCCUUUGACAACUCUAGAGAUAGAGCUUUCCCCUUCGGGGGACAAAGUGACAGGUGGUGCAUGGUUGUCGUCAGCUCGUGUCGUGAGAUGUUGGGUUAAGUCCCGCAACGAGCGCAACCCUUAAGCUUAGUUGCCAUCAUUAAGUUGGGCACUCUAAGUUGACUGCCGGUGACAAACCGGAGGAAGGUGGGGAUGACGUCAAAUCAUCAUGCCCCUUAUGAUUUGGGCUACACACGUGCUACAAU
Molecule: ribosomal RNA, 1249 nt
Filed under: Staphylococcus aureus
Lineage: Bacteria; Bacillati; Bacillota; Bacilli; Caryophanales; Staphylococcaceae
Description: bacterial SSU rRNA
Rfam family: Bacterial small subunit ribosomal RNA
Source: RNAcentral